Molecule: RNA transcript, 3090 nt
Organism: Sorghum bicolor (sorghum)
Lineage: Eukaryota; Viridiplantae; Streptophyta; Magnoliopsida; Poales; Poaceae
Gene name: phosphatidylinositol/phosphatidylcholine transfer protein SFH11
Exons: 12
Source: RefSeq, a predicted model, not a curated record
AAACGUACCCCACAAAUUGUAUCAUCUCUGUCAGCGGCGGCCGCGACGUCUGCUUUGCUUCCGAGUGGCGCGAACGCAUUGAUCCUUCCUUUCUCGAAUCUCGACUCUCCACCGUCCCGCGCCUCUUUCCCUAGUUCCAGGCUUCCAGCUGGCCGUUGUGCUGCUUGUACAGAGAGAGGCUGGCGGCCGGGCCGGGUCGGGCGCACGUGAUCUUCUGCUGUUCUGGAGGCGCCGGUGGCCGCCGCCUCAGGUUGCUUCGCCAGCGCGCCGUGCCGGCGGGGGAGAUGACAGAUUCGCGCACCUUAUCGCCACCCGCCGAAGAAACCUCCUGCGCGUCGCCCGGACCCGCGUGUCCGCCAGGCGCUCGACCUAAUGCCGCGGCGCCCCCACGGCAUUCCUCCAAUCUUUAUAUGAAGGUUAGUUUUUAUAUGAAGGAGAACCGUACAUCAAUCCAAGCCGAGUUCUAUCCCGAGGUAAUCCUGAGCCUCUCUUUCAGUCUUCCAUUCUUGUUCUCGCACUAUUGGUGCCACUGAAAUCGCCUGGGAGGACAGCAUCGCAUCCCAGCUGCCACUGCUGUUCUCGAAAUCGGGUCGUGCAAAUAAGCUUCUUGCCUUCAGGCUUAAUAUACAGCUUCUUUAUUUGGGGAACUGUACAUGCUUCACAGGAUUGGUGGCUACUACAAUUUUUUUUCUUGCCUUGUUCUAAUGCAGUGUCGCCUUAAGCUGUAGCAGUUAGAUGUCCCUCAGCAAGACCGUUGCAUACUAAAUUCGUCAGCUGAGGUUUUCUAGUUUUUUCUGCAAGCCAGAGAAGACUUAGCAAAUCUGAAGAAUCAUCAUAAGAAAAUAAAAUGAGGGCAUCAAUAGCUAGUGCUUAUCUUUUUUUUUUUUUUUGCCUUUGUUGUUUAAAGAUGCAUUUUUGCUGCUUAGGUAUGUUAAUUAUUACGACACUUGUCAAAUGGUUAUUCUGCUAUGGUUAACUGAUGUGUUAUUUCUGACAACUGUUGGUUUCCUACUUCCUCCAUGUAGGAACCUAAUAUAUUUUGUCACUAAAGAGUAGAAUAACUAUUUGGACCGUUAUUCUAGUUACAGUACACUAUAGUCAACUGAAUACCUCAUUCUGUUGGUAUAUAUUUUUAUUAAUACUGUUAGAUUUUUUUUUACCUAAUAUCGGGCUAUAUAGAAUUAUAGAUAAACAGCUUUAAAUGGCUUUUUAACUUUCAGAGAUUAUGUGAGAUUUAACUUGGGGAAAAUGACCAUAUGCUGCACAAUUUUACCUAAGGUUGCAUCCAUAUCCUGUUUCUUUGUUCUGUAAGAUUCCCAUCUAACUAUUUGUACAUGUUUAAACCAAAUAAUAGAAACUGGAAUGCUAAAAGACCAUAAUGUACUCAAGAAGACCAGCACUGUUUCUGGCAAUACAAGCAAUAUGUUCUGUCCCUUUAUUGAGGGCUUUGAUAUCAAAUUCAUAGCUUCAGAAUUAAUUUAUUGAGUUCCUAUUUGAAGCGUAUUGGCACUUCUUUCAAGUACAAAGCAAAAACUCCAUAUCAAAGAUGAGCUUCAGAUCCAUCGAACAGUUACUUAGGAGGAACAGCAAAACCAAAAUUUCUCGCAAUAUUGUUGACGGUGUCCAUGACCAGAAGGAAGAGCAGUUAGUGCAAUCCUUGAGGGAGUUACUUCUUGCAAGCAAUCAGCUCCCAGAUAAAUUUGAUGACUACUAUGUCCUUCUACGCUUUCUUAGAAUGAGAGGCUUCAACAUCUUAAAAGCAAAAGAGAUGUUCUUAAAUAUGUUAAAAUGGCGUGAAGAUUGUUCUGUUGAUGCCAUCGCAAACGAUUUUAAAUUUGAGGAGUAUGAUGCUGUGAAAAGAUGCUAUCCUCAUGGAUUUCAUGGAGUUGACAGAUUUGGCAGGCCUCUAUAUAUCGAACGGGUUGGCUUGGUGGAUCUCAGUAAGCUCGUGCAAGUGACUAGUAUUGAUCGAUAUGUAAAAUAUCAUAUAUCAGAACAAGAGAAAACUAUGUCUUUGAGAUAUCCUGUUUGCUCACUUGUGGCUAAAAGGCACAUAGCCUCGACAACAGCCAUAUUUGAUGUGAAAGGACUGGGUUUGAAUAACUUUUCAAAAUCUGCAAGAGAGAUGUUCGCAGAGAUCCAAAAGAUCGAUAGCAAUUACUAUCCAGAGACAUUAAAUCAACUUUAUAUAAUUAAUGCUGGAACUGGAUUUAGAGCACUGUGGAAAGUAUUGAAAGCAUUCAUGGAGGCAAGAACGUUAGCAAAGGUUCAGGUUCUGGGGACCAAUUACCUUAACACAGUAUUAAAAGCUGUUGACCCAAGCAAUUUACCAGACUUUUUAGGCGGAACAUGCACUUGUCCAACAGGAGGAUGCUUACUCCAAGAUAAAGGACCCUGGACUGACCCAGAAAUGGUUCGUGCUUCUAAGGAAGCAUUUGGUAAAGGUCAGAAGUCUUUCAAUGAAUUGACUGCCACAAUUGCCUGUGAAAGCUUUACAGGUUGUCAGGAGCCUUCCGCAAAACAAGUAGAUUCCACUUCUCGUAAGAAAAGAACUCUUGGCAUGUUGUUAAAAGAUGACCAGGUUGGAAUUGAUACAGGUGAAAAUACUCUACGGAAACAAGUCGAUGAACAGAUCUCGGAUAAGAUCCGAGAACUUGAACACUGUGCUGCUCAGAGUAAGGAGUUCAGACCCUGCAGACACUAAUAUGUAAGCAACAAGAACUCACUGGCCACAUCGAACAGCUGAGAAAAAUCCUUCAGGAUGGCGUGGGUGCAGAUAUGAAAUGAAAGCCAACAUACAAAACUCGAAGUAAAUUAGUGCUUGCCGAAGGUGAAGAAAGCCAAAAGGGACAAGAAACGAACCCAUCGUUGUAAUGUAAUAAAGAAGAAAUAUGCACUAGUUUUCUGUGAUGAGUCUUUAACCCCUAUGAGCUGUUAAAAAACUCAGUUGUGAAUGUCAUAGUAUUAUUCUCGCAACGCCUGUCUGCGGCUGUCUGGACGUCCUCUCAGAAGUCCUGUACCAUGUUAAAUAAAUGUUACUCAUGUAAUUUACCGUCAUGAGAUUUAAUUCAAGUCACACAUCUCAAAUCA